CCUGAGAANCCCGAAAGAUCGAAUGGGGAGAUUCAUCGUCAGCGAUUUUGGUACAUGUGCGGUCUCGCGAUGCCGGAGACUUCGGUCACCAGGCACGCGUCCGCAUGGUUUUUAUUGCCUUAAUCGUCGGCGUGCACUUCUCCCCUAGUAGGACGUCGCGACCCGUUGGGUGUCGGUCUACGGCCCGGGGCGGCGCCUGUCUCGUGUUCGCUUCGCGGCGUUACGCGGUUCAGACCCCCGGCUGCCCGACCGGCUGCCCGGCGGUACUCGUACGGUAUCUGGCCGCAAAUAUUCGAACUGCGUCCGGCCCGUCGCAAGCGCGGCAAGUGUGUCCCGGUUGUACGGAUCUAACGCCGUCACCGGGCCUUGCCCGCUGUUGGUUGACGGUGUCCUGGACUGGCUAUAAUAGAGAUACCGGUCGGCGACGCUACUGCUUUGGGUACUUUCAGGACCCGUCUUGAAACACGGACCAAGGAGUCUAACAUGUGCGCGAGUCAUUGGGAACUAUUAAGCCUAAAGGCGCAAUGAAAGUGAAGGUCGGCCUCGCGCCGACCGAGGGAGGAUGGGCCGCGUCACGAUGCGGUCCCGCACUCCCGGGGCGUCUCGUUCUCAUUGCGAGAAGAGGCGCACCCAGAGCGUACACGUUGGGACCCG
RNAcentral lists this ribosomal RNA (654 nucleotides) under Phygadeuontini sp. NL3447. RNAcentral describes it as "eukaryotic LSU rRNA". It matches the Rfam family "Eukaryotic large subunit ribosomal RNA", at positions 420 to 818 of the family's 3401-position model. The record is from RNAcentral. Lineage: Eukaryota; Metazoa; Arthropoda; Insecta; Hymenoptera; Ichneumonidae.